UACGAAGGGGGCUAGCGUUGUUCGGAUUUACUGGGCGUAAAGCGCACGUAGGCGGAUCGAUCAGUCAGGGGUGAAAUCCCAGAGCUCAACUCUGGAAUUGCCUUUGAGACUGAGUGGCUUGAGUACGAGAGAGGUGAGUGGAAUUCCCAGUGUAGAGGUGAAAUUCGUAGAUAUUGGGAAGAACACCGGUGGCGAAGGCGGCUCACUGGCUCGUAACUGACGCUCAUGCACGACAGCGUGGGGAUCAAACAGG
Molecule: ribosomal RNA, 253 nt
Filed under: uncultured bacterium
Lineage: Bacteria
Description: partial 16S ribosomal RNA
Rfam family: Bacterial small subunit ribosomal RNA
Source: RNAcentral